This is an RNA transcript of Oryza sativa Japonica Group (Japanese rice), 2581 nucleotides long. RefSeq lists it as uncharacterized. The record is from RefSeq and is a predicted model, not a curated record. NCBI's taxonomy places the organism in Eukaryota, Viridiplantae, Streptophyta, Magnoliopsida, Poales, Poaceae.
GAACCACAGAAUCAUUCUGUAAUUUCACAGGAAUGAACCAGGGAGGUGAGUGACUUCAGUACCUUCAAAGCUCUUGUCUAAACUUCCAGUCCUCUUGAACAGCUGAUCAAAGUGAGGCCUGCAGUAGAGCACUCCUUCAAACGAGUUGUAGUUCGCGAGCUGCAGCGGAAGCAUCAUCACGAUGCAUAUUCUGGCUGGGCAGUAUCAAGAAACCCCCCUGAUCCCCAGGUCCCCAACCACUGAUGCAUACCUUGAGGGUGCCCUUGCAAUGGUGGCACCGGAAGCAGGCCUUGUGGUAGACCCUGUUGUCGGCGGUGAGCUUGUCGACCAGGUACACCGUCUUGUCGCACGCCAUGCACUUGGUCGUCGUCCCCUGAAAGGAAGUCGCCAUUGCCCAGCUCCCUCACCUUCUUCUUCCCUCUCUCUCCCUCUCCCUCUCUGCUUGUGCUUUCAGUGUCCAAGAAAAACGACCCCUCAGCCCUUGAGCUCCUUAUGGUUAUAUGUGAAUGGUGUCGUGGUUGGUGGUGUCCUGGCCUGCAGUCAUUGAUCCUGCAGGGAGGAGGAGGAGGAGGAGGAGGACAGCGAACGCAAGCAGGCACAGGCAAGGACAGCUUGGUAGACAGGGAAUAUUGGGGGUGUCAGGAUGGGGUGUGUAGGAGAGGAGAGGAGAGUAGGGUGGUGCGAGGUGUGGGGGCCGGCCGGCCUGACAUGAACGGGAGAAAGGGCAUAGUGGUGUGGUGGUUGUGGAAAUUCUUUUGCGGAGUGGCUAAGCAAAAUCCAGCCAGCACAAAUUGGCCAUGACUGCUCGUGACAUGGGAGUGAGAAACUGAGAAAAUACUUAGUGACAAUCAUUAGAGAGAUAGGCAAGGAUAUGGGGAGGGAUGUCUCCUUUGUUUAAGUUGAUAAAUUAUUUUUUAAGUAAAGUUUACUUUGGACCACCUUUAUUAACCAAAGUUUCACAAUGGACUAGAAGUAAACCUAACUUUCCACAUAACACCACAUAUAAUUACCAUUGUUGCACUUUGGACUAAGGUUCACAAUUUGGGGCUUUAUUCUUGCUUUAGCCAAGCUACAAAGCAGCAGCCGAUGGAGUAUCGGGCGACAUAAAAGAUCGGUAUGGCAGCAAUUGGGUAUUGCAUCGUGCUAGAUAAACGAUCAGUGCAAUGAUUUGUUCUUGCAUUUCGGUAUUUUACAAUAGUGUGUUAAAAAAAUAAUUUUGUGUUUUCAUAUUUGGUGGCAAGAACUUCGAUGGUGGUGGAAGCCCUCAUAUUGGUUCUCAUAGUUUAUGGCAGCAAAUAGACAAAAUUCGGAGCCAACCCACAUUGUUCUUGCCAGCAUGGCAGCUCAAGUUAUCUAGCCCCGGUCCAAAGUGCAAAGAAUAGUAAGCAUAUGUGGUGUUAAGUGAAAAGAUUAGCUUACCCCUAGUUCAUUGUGAAACUUUGGCUAAUAAAGAUGGUUCAAAGUGAAAUUUACUCUCUUUUUUUCUCGAACACGCAGGAGAGAUGCACAUCAUUCUAUUAAGAAGAAGAAAAGUAGUCCGAAAUGACUCGUAAACGCCCAUUAAGGCAAAUUAGAGGGAGGGGGGUGAUGUUGAUCAGGUGAUGGGUGAUUUGGAACAGGAGAACGCAGUUGAGUGAAAGGUGAAGGACAACUGAUUGCUAGGAUUGCUACAUCUUGAGGGGAUUUGGGAGGUAGAUUAUUAGCUAGGAUUGUGAUAUUCUUUUUUGUUGAAGUUAGCUUAAGAAGAUAGCUUGGUGAUCUUGGCAAAAAGAUUAAAACUGCUUUGAGGAUCUAACCUGCUUGAUUGGAACUUGGUGCCACACCAUGUGCUCCUGAACCAAGGAUGAUGUGCCUGCAGCCUUUCUAUAUUCACGUCCUUUGGUUGCUUCUAGUGAAAGUGAAAACUUAUUUUUACUAUUUCCUUUUUUUAAAAAAACUUUUCAUGGGAAUGAGUUUGCUUCUAGUGAAAGUUGAAAGUAAUGGAUUCGGAUUUCAUUUGGUUUUCUAGGUUAUCACUAAUUUUAUUCUUUAUAGGGUACAUGUACUGUUGUACUCUUUUUUUCAUUAUCUUCCCAUGUUGUACUCAUAAUAUCUGUGCAUAAAUGAGCUAGGUGAUGGUACUAGCACAGGUUAUGUAACUUAGAUCCAAUAAAAGAAAUUGCACAGCUGAAUAACCAGCAUCUACAUUUCACUCGACAUUUUAUUUUUGGUGCAGGCCCUCAACAGUUCUUUCUAAAAUACAUGCCAUUGCAUUCUUGCCUGUUUGGGUCAUACAGAAUUAGCAUUCUACUACUUAACUGAUAUUUUAACAUUGCAGGCCAUACAUUCAUACAUGCCCAUCAGUCAUCAGGUGUAAUGCUGAUCAACAACAGAUUCUGUCGACAGGGCCACCACAACGGACAUGAAAGAUGGUGAUGCACACACAUUUGCAUGAAUCGGUGAUGAUUUGAUGAGUGAGUGUGUGUUAUGGGGAGAAAGAUAGUGAUAUGUUGUUUGGUUGUGAUGUGCUGUAUGCUGUUCCUGUCGGUAGGCCAUGUAAAGCCAGCUUUCUCGCUGAAAAGAAAUUGAUGCAGCUUAAUCA